UACAGAGGGUGCGAGCGUUAAUCGGAAUUACUGGGCGUAAAGCGUGCGUAGACGGUAGCAUAAGUCAGAUGUGAAAGCCCCGGGCUCAACCUGGGAAUUGCAUUUGAGACUGCUCUGCUCGGGUGCGGAAGAGGGAAGCGGAAUUUCCGGUGUAGCGGUGAAAUGCGUAGAUAUCGGAAGGAGCACCAGUGGCGAAAGCGGCUUCCUGGUCCGACACCGACGUUCAGGCACGAAAGCGUGGGGAGCAAACAGG
Molecule: ribosomal RNA, 253 nt
Filed under: uncultured bacterium
Lineage: Bacteria
Description: partial 16S ribosomal RNA
Rfam family: Bacterial small subunit ribosomal RNA
Source: RNAcentral